AGCCUAAUUCUAGAUGACAAGUGGGCACUGUUGACUAUGGUAUCCAAAAAUUGUCAGUAUGUGAGACAUAGAUUAUGCUUCCAUAAAAGCGUAGGUAUUCCAGUGGUGACAAGGAGCUCUGUCAUAUUU
RNAcentral lists this small nucleolar RNA (129 nucleotides) under Ochotona princeps (American pika). Its description in RNAcentral is "Small nucleolar RNA SNORA1 (ENSOPRG00000019604.1)". It matches the Rfam family "Small nucleolar RNA SNORA1". Rfam says of the family: ACA1 is a member of the H/ACA class of snoRNA that guide the sites of modification of uridines to pseudouridines. Lineage: Eukaryota; Metazoa; Chordata; Mammalia; Lagomorpha; Ochotonidae. The record is from RNAcentral.